RNAcentral lists this ribosomal RNA (483 nucleotides) under uncultured bacterium. Its description in RNAcentral is "partial 16S ribosomal RNA". It matches the Rfam family "Bacterial small subunit ribosomal RNA", at positions 30 to 506 of the family's 1533-position model. The record is from RNAcentral.
AUUGAACGCUGGCGGCAGGCCUAACACAUGCAAGUCGAGCGGAUGAAGGGAGCUUGCUCCUGGAUUCAGCGGCGGACGGGUGAGUAAUGCCUAGGAAUCUGCCUGGUAGUGGGGGAUAACGUCCGGAAACGGGCGCUAAUACCGCAUACGUCCUGAGGGAGAAAGUGGGGGAUCUUCGGACCUCACGCUAUCAGAUGAGCCUAGGUCGGAUUAGCUAGUUGGUGGGGUAAAGGCCUACCAAGGCGACGAUCCGUAACUGGUCUGAGAGGAUGAUCAGUCACACUGGAACUGAGACACGGUCCAGACUCCUACGGGAGGCAGCAGUGGGGAAUAUUGGACAAUGGGCGAAAGCCUGAUCCAGCCAUGCCGCGUGGGUGAAGAAGGUCUGCGGAUUGUAAAGCACUUUAAGUUGGGAGGAAGGGCAGUAAGUUAAUACCUUGCUGUUUUGACGUGACCAACAGAAUAAACACCGGCUAACUUCGU